This 224-nucleotide ribosomal RNA is filed under the name uncultured bacterium. RNAcentral's name for it is "partial 16S ribosomal RNA". It matches the Rfam family "Bacterial small subunit ribosomal RNA", at positions 524 to 748 of the family's 1533-position model. The record is from RNAcentral.
UACGUAGGUGGCAAGCGUUGUCCGGAUUUACUGGGCGUAAAGGAUGCGUAGGCGGACAUUUAAGUCAGAUGUGAAAUACCCGAGCUUAACUUGGGUGCUGCAUUUGAAACUGGGUGUCUAGAGUGCAGGAGAGGUAAGUGGAAUUCCUAGUGUAGCGGUGAAAUGCGUAGAGAUUAGGAAGAACACCAGUGCGAAGGCGACUUACUGGACUGUAACUGACGCUG